ACAGAGGGGGCAAGCGUUGUUCGGAAUUACUGGGCGUAAAGGGCGCGUAGGCGGCGCGGUAAGUCACUCGUGAAAUCUCUGAGCUUAACUCAGAACGGCCAAGUGAUACUGCAGUGCUAGAGUGUGGAAGGGGCAAUCGGAAUUCUUGGUGUAGCGGUGAAAUGCGUAGAUAUCAGGAGGAACACCGAUGGCGAAGGCAGCUCGCUGGGACGGUACUGACGCUGAGGCGCGAAAGCGUGGGGAGCAAACAGGA
This 253-nucleotide ribosomal RNA is filed under the name uncultured prokaryote. RNAcentral's name for it is "partial 16S ribosomal RNA". It matches the Rfam family "Bacterial small subunit ribosomal RNA", at positions 525 to 777 of the family's 1533-position model. The record is from RNAcentral.